UUCACCUUCACCAGAGAGGCAGGACAGCGACCAAGAAGUGCAGUUAAGAAUGCUUCUUCAUGGUGAGAUGGAUAGAUUUGAUGACACAACUGUGUCACUCUUAAAAAGGUUUUGGACGAGAUGGGCCGAAUUCUAGAGGCAGGCAACAAGAACUUCACUGACCAGAUCAAAGCCAGAUGGGAAAGCUUUUGCGAACAUGCGCUGUUCUUUGGAGUGUGGAACAAGUCGUUGAAGCCACCAAUGGGUCUGGAUACAUG
Long non-coding RNA from Gymnodraco acuticeps, 257 nucleotides. RefSeq lists it as uncharacterized. The record is from RefSeq and is a predicted model, not a curated record. The transcript has 3 exons. NCBI's taxonomy places the organism in Eukaryota, Metazoa, Chordata, Actinopteri, Perciformes, Bathydraconidae.